RNAcentral lists this ribosomal RNA (253 nucleotides) under uncultured bacterium. RNAcentral describes it as "partial 16S ribosomal RNA". It matches the Rfam family "Bacterial small subunit ribosomal RNA", at positions 524 to 776 of the family's 1533-position model. The record is from RNAcentral.
UACGUAGGGGGCAAGCGUUGUCCGGAUUUACUGGGCGUAAAGAGCGUGUAGGCGGCCACGCAGGUCCGUUGUGAAAACUGGAGGCUCAACCUCCAGCUGUCGACGGAAACCGUGUGGCUAGAGUCCGGAAGAGGAGAGUGGAAUUCCUGGUGUAGCGGUGAAAUGCGCAGAUAUCAGGAAGAACACCAGUGGCGAAGGCGGCUCACUGGUCCGGUACUGACGCUGAGGUGCGAAAGCGUGGGGAGCAAACAGG